This is a long non-coding RNA of Marmota monax (woodchuck), 907 nucleotides long. RefSeq lists it as uncharacterized. NCBI's taxonomy places the organism in Eukaryota, Metazoa, Chordata, Mammalia, Rodentia, Sciuridae. The transcript is spliced from 2 exons. The record is from RefSeq and is a predicted model, not a curated record.
GGGAAGAGGUCGCUGGAGGAGGUGGCGCAGCGCAAAAAACCUCAGUCCAUCAACUCACGACGGCUCCUUCUCCCUUCCUGGGUGUCCUCCACCGAUUCUGCAUCGUCCUCCCCGUCUGACCUCCACACUCCAGCCUCCAGCUCGCAACGCCCCCAGCUCGGGUGGCUCGUUAUGCGUAGCGAUGUAGCUGUUCCUGCGGCCAACCUUGGCUGUGCCCAGGGCCGUCACCUUCCCGACUAGAAGAACUCAGGAAGUGGGUCACAUCUCCAUAGACGACAAGGGCAGAGGCCUUGUGUCCUCCGAUCCCCACGGAGGCGGGACCCAGGGGCCCUCAGCUUGCAGCGUGGGACAGCUGGUUCGUCUAGACCCGGGUUUCUCCACCCCGCUGCGGUGGACAUUCUGGUCCAGACGCUUCUCAGCGCAGGCGCAAAUGCGAAGCAAGCUAUGUCAAAGUGAGUUGUGUCGUUUAUGCCAACUCUCCUGAGAGAAGAGAGAGGAUGGACCAUUGAGGAGCACAGAGAAUUUCGCCUGCCUUUUCACUCGAUGCCUGUGAGUCAGGGUGAGCUGGGCGAGUUUUCCCUUCUCUGAGCGUGAGUCAAGAGUCUAAAGAUGGGACUGGGGACAGAGCUCAGAAGCAGAGCUCCUGCCUAGCUUCAUGAGGCUGAUUUUGACCCCCAUCCCCAGCACCAAAUCGAAACAAACAACAAACGCCUUGGAGGGUGAGGAUGUGGCACAGUGACCGAGCAAGCGCCUGCCUCCCUGUAAGAUUUAAUGGGUUUAAUCCCCAGCACUGAGAAACAAGAAGAAAAAUCACAUCUGAAGACCCGCACUUCUUUCCAUGAACCAUCAAAGGCACAUCAGCCAUGCCACCCGGUGUUUGCAUGUGAAUAAAGGUUUUCAAAGGUGA